GCGUCCGUAGCUCAGUUGGUUAGAGCACCACCUUGACAUGGUGGGGGUCGGUGGUUCGAGUCCACUCGGACGCACC
Molecule: transfer RNA, 76 nt
Filed under: Escherichia coli
Lineage: Bacteria; Pseudomonadati; Pseudomonadota; Gammaproteobacteria; Enterobacterales; Enterobacteriaceae
Also listed under: 1 other name
Description: tRNA-Val(gac)
Rfam family: tRNA
About the family: Transfer RNA (tRNA) molecules are approximately 80 nucleotides in length. Their secondary structure includes four short double-helical elements and three loops (D, anti-codon, and T loops). Further hydrogen bonds mediate the characteristic L-shaped molecular structure. tRNAs have two regions of fundamental functional importance: the anti-codon, which is responsible for specific mRNA codon recognition, and the 3' end, to which the tRNAs corresponding amino acid is attached (by aminoacyl-tRNA synthetases). tRNAs cope with the degeneracy of the genetic code in two manners: having more than one tRNA (with a specific anti-codon) for a particular amino acid; and 'wobble' base-pairing, i.e. permitting non-standard base-pairing at the 3rd anti-codon position.
Source: RNAcentral